UCCAGAUUCUUUGUUUUCUGUAUUAGUCACCACAUUUCUAAACAAGGAAAAUGUGUACUGCCUAGACUGCCUGCAGGAGUUUCUGGAACUAAAGUACAUGCUAUGAACAGUAGGAAGUACUUGAAGUAAACCUAAGCAAGAGUUUUCCCCACUCAGAAUUGAUGGAUGUGGACCUAAGAGGCAUAAUCAAUAAAUAUGAAGUAAAAGAAUAGGACGUCUAUGCUACUUGCAUCACCACAAUGAUGUUUGUAAGGAAGCAAUGAACAGUACCAGCUUCUACUAGCAGGCAACAUGUUGUAAGUGGGCCUAUGCAGUUUGAACAAGGAACUGAGUAAAUUCUGAAAAGGUA
Long non-coding RNA from Podarcis raffonei (Aeolian wall lizard), 349 nucleotides. RefSeq lists it as uncharacterized. The record is from RefSeq and is a predicted model, not a curated record. The transcript is spliced from 2 exons. NCBI's taxonomy places the organism in Eukaryota, Metazoa, Chordata, Lepidosauria, Squamata, Lacertidae.